GGAGGGGUGGCCGAGCGGCUGAAGGCACCGGUCUUGAAAACCGGCGAUGGGAAACCAUUCGAGAGUUCGAAUCUCUCCUCCUCCGCCA
This 88-nucleotide transfer RNA is filed under the name Campylobacter jejuni. Its description in RNAcentral is "tRNA-Ser(tga)". It matches the Rfam family "tRNA". From Rfam's summary of the family: Transfer RNA (tRNA) molecules are approximately 80 nucleotides in length. Their secondary structure includes four short double-helical elements and three loops (D, anti-codon, and T loops). The record is from RNAcentral. Lineage: Bacteria; Pseudomonadati; Campylobacterota; Epsilonproteobacteria; Campylobacterales; Campylobacteraceae. RNAcentral also lists the same sequence under 54 other names.